AUGGUAAGGAUGCCCAUCCUCGUUGCCGUGGCUCUCGUGGCCGCAGUGGCCUCCUGCAGCGCAAGGGAGCCUAACAUCUGUACGCCGAUGGCGGAGGUUGCAGCAACUGCUGUAGAUGACGCCGUGGCGCCGCUCAUCCACGCGUUGCGGCCACUACUGGGCUCCGGCGGGCAGCUCGGGAGCCACGGCGGGGUGCCGUGCGACAGCUGGCGGCUGGGCGUGGAGGCGUACAACGUGCGGGACUGGACGACGGUCCCCGCCAACUGCGAGGGAUACGUGGGCCACUACAUGCUCGGCAGCCACUACCGCCGCGACUCCAAGGUCGUCAUCGACCAGGCCAUCGCCUACCUUGACAGCCUCAAGCUCGCCGGCAACGGCAAGGAGGUGUGGGUCUUCGACAUCGACGAGACCAUGCUCUCCAACCUACCUUACUACGCCACUCACGGCUUCGGGGCCAGGCCGUACAACGCGACGAGCUACAACGCUUAUGUGUUGGAGGGGAGCGCGCCUGCGCUACCGGAGACAAAACGGCUGUACUACAAGCUGCUCGCGGUGGGCAUCAAGCCAGUGUUCCUAACAGGACGGACCGAGCACCGGAGGGCCAUCACAGUUGCCAACCUCUGCCGCCAGGGCAUCUCCGGAUGGAUGAACCUGCUCCUCAAGCAACCAUGGUUCAAGGGUUCCACGGUGACCUACAAGUCUGGCGAGAGGCAGAAGCUGCAGGACGCUGGGUACGUCGUCGUGGGAAACAUCGGCGACCAGUGGAGCGACAUCCUCGGCGCUCCCGAGGGCGCUCGCACCUUCAAGUUGCCCGACCCCAUGUACUACAUCGGCUAG
This 837-nucleotide ribosomal RNA is filed under the name Triticum aestivum (bread wheat). RNAcentral's name for it is "partial small subunit ribosomal RNA". The record is from RNAcentral. Lineage: Eukaryota; Viridiplantae; Streptophyta; Magnoliopsida; Poales; Poaceae.